RNAcentral lists this ribosomal RNA (460 nucleotides) under uncultured bacterium. RNAcentral describes it as "partial 16S ribosomal RNA". It matches the Rfam family "Bacterial small subunit ribosomal RNA", at positions 338 to 795 of the family's 1533-position model. The record is from RNAcentral.
CCUACGGGUGGCAGCAGUGAGGAAUAUAGGUCAAUGGACGAGAGUCUGAACCAGCCAAGUAGCGUGAAGGAUGACUGCCCUAUGGGUUGUAAACUUCUUUUAUAUGGGAAUAAAACGUUCCACGUGUGGGAUUUUGUAUGUACCAUAUGAAUAAGGAUCGGCUAACUCCGUGCCAGCAGCCGCGGUAAUACGGAGGAUCCGAGCGUUAUCCGGAUUUAUUGGGUUUAAAGGGAGCGUAGGUGGAUUGUUAAGUCAGUUGUGAAAGUUUGCGGCUCAACCGUAAAAUUGCAGUUGAAACUGGCAGUCUUGAGUACAGUAGAGGUGGGCGGAAUUCGUGGUGUAGCGGUGAAAUGCUUAGAUAUCACGAAGAACUCCGAUUGCGAAGGCAGUUCACUGGACUGCAACUGACACUGAGGCUCGAAAGUGUGGGUAUCAAACAGGAUUAGAUACCCUAGUAGUC